UGGGGAAUUUUGGACAAUGGGCGCAAGCCUGAUCCAGCAAUGCCGCGUGCAGGAUGAAGGCCUUCGGGUUGUAAACUGCUUUUGUACGGAACGAAACAGCUCACUCUAAUACAGAGGGCGAAUGACGGUACCGUAAGAAUAAGCACCGGCUAACUACGUGCCAGCAGCCGCGGUAAUACGUAGGGUGCAAGCGUUAAUCGGAAUUACUGGGCGUAAAGCGUGCGCAGGCGGUGAUGUAAGACAGAUGUGAAAUCCCCGGGCUCAACCUGGGACCUGCAUUUGUGACUGCAUCGCUAGAGUACGGUAGAGGGGGAUGGAAUUCCGCGUGUAGCAGUGAAAUGCGUAGAUAUGCGGAGGAACACCGAUGGCGAAGGCAAUCCCCUGGACCUGUACUGACGCUCAUGCACGAAAGCGUGGGGAGCAAACAGGAUUAGAUACCCCCGUAGUCC
Molecule: ribosomal RNA, 449 nt
Filed under: uncultured bacterium
Lineage: Bacteria
Description: bacterial SSU rRNA
Rfam family: Bacterial small subunit ribosomal RNA
Source: RNAcentral